Esox lucius (northern pike) is the source of this 2430-nucleotide long non-coding RNA. RefSeq lists it as uncharacterized. The record is from RefSeq and is a predicted model, not a curated record. The transcript is spliced from 5 exons. Lineage: Eukaryota; Metazoa; Chordata; Actinopteri; Esociformes; Esocidae.
ACCGCGAAAUAAAAACGUCAAGAGCAAAAACAAUUGCUGAGGUAAUUUAACUAGCUGGUAGUUCGCUUGAUGAUGGAUAACCCAUCAAUAAAAUAAGAGAUCAUUCAAGCAAUAUUUAAGAAACAGAAAUGUGUCUGUACCUAGGACGUAUAGGUACAGGUUCGACAAAGCUGGUAAGCUUAGACACCGACGUAUGUUUUCAUACUACAUACAACAGCCAAGGACUUUGCUGCCUGCAUAGGUAAUUUAUGUGGUAGCAACCGAACCUGUCUUUAUGUUUGAAUGGACAAAUCAUCACGGAGCUACAUAGCGGAAUUGUCUAGAUGACAGUCAUGGCGACAAAAGUCAAAAGAUGGCCCACCUACCCCAGUGCUGCCCAUGAGUUCUAUGACUUCAAGAAUAAACUGGGGAAAGCCCAAGUACCUGACGAUGCACCAGCUGAUGGACCUGAUGCAAAUGAGUCCUUCCCUCAGUGGAGACUGGGAGAUUAGAACGAGAUCCCUGAUGAAAAGUUAAAUUCCUCCUUGUAAUGCGGAGCAUCUGUUACCUUGGCACAGACCAUAGUUUUACUGAUGGUGUUUGUUGGUAUUACAGGACUGACACAAGAUGGUCUGCAGACUUUCCUCUAAAUUCUCCUGGUUAUUCUGCCUGAACAUUCGCACCAACUGUGGUCAAGAAUUCGUAACAAAGGCUCUUCUUAAGAAUGGAAAUUGUUUUACUUUGCCAUUAGAAGCACAACUAAAACAUUUACUGCAAACUUUGAAUUUAGGAGAACAACGUAAUUAUCCAAAGACCAGGUCUACUUGUUCAGAUACAAUUUCAGAUAUUUACAAAGAUAUGUGUGACACAACACAUUUGAAUGAAGAUUACUCCUUUAACUUUCAAUUCAGAUGGUGUACCUAUAUUCUCUUCCUCCAAUUUUUCUAUUUGGCCUUUGGUGUGUUAAUACCAUAUUUUAAUGUUGUUACUGGUUUUAUUGUUGAUUCUAUGCACUGCAUAUAUUUAGGAGUAGUUAGGCAGCUGUCACAUCUGUAGUUUGAUAGUGCGAACCACACAGAGCCUUGGUACAUAGGCACAAGAGUAUAGGAGAUAGACCGAGGAUUAAAACGAAUGCGUCCCCCAUCUAAUAUUACAAGGCUUCCUAGGUCUCUUUCAACCAGAGCCUACUGGAAAGGAUCUGAAUGGAGAGCUUUUAUUUUAUGCACCAAUUGUCUUAAAGUCUAUUCUUGCUAGCAAGUAUCUUGUACACUUGCUGUUGUUAUGCCAAGCUGUGUAUGUGUUACAGACAUCCUCGAUUACCCAACUAGAAAUAUUAUAUGCAUCUCAACUGCUAGACCCGUUUGUAAAGGACUUUGAGAUCUUGUAUGGUUUAAUUUACAUGUCAUACAAUGUGCAUAUGUUACUUCAUCUAAGUGAUUGCGUUCGAACCUGGAGAACCUUGUUGUGUUACAGUGCUUACAGCUUUGAAGGUUGCAAUGGUCGGUUCUUAAAACUAUUCAAUGGCACACAGGUGGCACCUCUACAAAUUGUCAUCAUUUCUUUUGCUCCAACAAGUUGAGCAUCUGGGCAAAAGUAAGAUUUUAAAUUCACCAGACUGUGUUAAAAUACGGUUUUAUUUUAUGAUGGAUGGCCACUCUACAAAAAAGUUGGACAACUCUGUUGUGUUUGGUAGUGGUACAUUUAAAGCACUUGAUCUAUAUGAAAAAUAUGCAGUGGGGAGACACCUAGGAUUCCUGGUUAAAGAGCAAGCUAUGUUUUAUCACAAAGCAGUGUUUUUUUCACAGAAAUUCCACAGUGUUGGAUAUAUACGGCAACAAUUGAGAGAUGACACUAGUAAGGAUUGCGGGUGACAAUGUUGGUCAAAUAGUAUCAUUUGUAAAUGUGUGUUCUUUGGAUGGUAAUGAACAUGCGGUGAGUCUCAUUAAAGUAGGCACACAAAAACCCCAAAUGUUCUUUCCUGUGCUCCAUGUUGAAACAAGAUGUGCAGUUAAACAUAUUAUGUCAGUGACUCCUGAGUUCAGCAAUCUAAUUGCAGUGGAACUUUUGGAAUUGUCAGAUAAGUUUAUGUACAACAAAGGAAAUGAGCAUGUCAUUUGCUUGCUUCCAAACAACUUUGAAAGAGACCAGAUUAUUCAAAUGUUCAUUGAUUUUAGUAGCUGAGCUGAAUAAUUAUAUUAGGAUUGACAUUUAAAAUUGUAAAAUUAUAGUAUAUAGUAGAUUUUUGUACUGAUACCUCCACAGAUAUUUGAAUGGUGACAGUUGUUACUUGAUGUGAGUGACCUUCACAUAAAUAAAUGCUACAUUCACUACAAGUCAUGUUAAAGCAUAUUGUCUGUAGUUUUAUUGAUUGGUUUUGCACAGGUUCGCAUGUUGGUACAACAUGUUGAAGAUCUGUUUCACAUUUUGCUGUACCUCAUGUUAUUCACAUGU